RNAcentral lists this long non-coding RNA (405 nucleotides) under Homo sapiens (human). RNAcentral describes it as "HSALNT0227325". The record is from RNAcentral. Lineage: Eukaryota; Metazoa; Chordata; Mammalia; Primates; Hominidae.
CGCCAUCCCAUCUAGGAAGUGAGGAGCGUCUCUGCCAGGCCGCCAUCCUGUCUAGGAAGCGAGGAGCGUCUCUGCCCGGCCGCCCAUCGUCUGGGAUGUGAGGAGACCCUCUGCCUGGCUGCCCAGUCUGGAAAGGGAGGAGCGCCUCUUCCCGGCCGCCAUCCCAUCUAGGAAGUGACCAGCGCCUCUUCCCGGCCGCCAUCCCUUCUAGGAAGUGAGGAGCGUCUCUGCCCGGCCGCCCGUUGUCUGAGAUGUGGGGAGCGUCUCUGCCCGGCCGCCCCAUCUGAGAGGCUGCAGUGUGGUGGUGCGAUCUCAGCUCACUGCAACCUCUGCCUCCUGGGUUCAAGUGAUUCUCCUGCCUCAGCCUCCCAAGUAGCCAGGAUUACAGGUACGUGCCACCACGCC